GUGCAGAGCCAUUGUUUAACUUCCCAACACAUGAGGAUAAGAAGCAGAUGGAGCUUUCAAAAGGAUUCACGGGGUGUAAGAAGAGGGUUUAAGAUGCUGAACAUCUGACCUCAGCUUUUCAAAGUCCUGUGUGGAGGAGUUCUGUCCACCCACAAAAAUGGUAAAGUAAGCCAGCCCCCAAUCUCAUCUCAAAGACACAAGGCCUUUGUUUCUCAGGAAAGACAAACCACAUUGCUCAGGACUGUAUUGGCUGUGACACAUGUGAGUGGUUUUUGUAUUCAACAUAUUGUAAUGCAUCAAGAUGUACAUAAUGUAAUGCAACAGAAGUUGUUCAAGAAAUACCUG
This is a long non-coding RNA of Cyprinus carpio (common carp), 345 nucleotides long. RefSeq lists it as uncharacterized. The record is from RefSeq and is a predicted model, not a curated record. The transcript has 3 exons. Lineage: Eukaryota; Metazoa; Chordata; Actinopteri; Cypriniformes; Cyprinidae.